CAGCCGCCGCGGUAAUACGUAGGGCGCAAGCGUUAUCCGGAAUUAUUGGGCGUAAAGAGCUCGUAGGCGGUUUGUCGCGUCUGCCGUGAAAGUCCGGGGCUUAACCCCGGAUCUGCGGUGGGUACGGGCAGACUAGAGUGAUGUAGGGGAGACUGGAAUUCCUGGUGUAGCGGUGAAAUGCGCAGAUAUCAGGAGGAACACCGAUGGCGAAGGCAGGUCUCUGGGCAUUAACUGACGCUGAGGAGCGAAAGCAUGGGGAGCGAACAGGAUUAGAUACCCGAGUAGUCCCUGUCUCUUAUAC
This 301-nucleotide ribosomal RNA is filed under the name uncultured bacterium. RNAcentral's name for it is "partial 16S ribosomal RNA". It matches the Rfam family "Bacterial small subunit ribosomal RNA", at positions 509 to 807 of the family's 1533-position model. The record is from RNAcentral.